Molecule: ribosomal RNA, 398 nt
Filed under: Nautilus pompilius
Lineage: Eukaryota; Metazoa; Mollusca; Cephalopoda; Nautilida; Nautilidae
Description: partial 16S ribosomal RNA
Rfam family: Bacterial large subunit ribosomal RNA
Source: RNAcentral
UGACCGUACUAAGGUAGCAUAAUGAUUUGCCUUUUAAUUGGAGGCUAGUAUGAAUGGUUUGACGUGAAAUAUACUGUCUCAACUAUAUUUAGUAGAAUUUAACCUUUAGGUGAAGAGGCCUAAAUUUUGUGGGAAGACAAGAAGACCCUAUUGAGCUUUAAAUAUUUGUGUUAGUGAGAACCUAAGAUUUAUAUGAUGGUCAUUACUUCUAAGUAUGUUGGUUGGGGCGACCGAGGAGUGUAAAAUAACCUCCUUUUAGUGUAAAGAAUUUGUUAUCAACGAACCUGUAAUAUAGGUUAUUCGGUAGUUACCAUAGGGAUAACAGCGUAAUUCUUUUGAAGAGUUCCUAUCGAAGAAAGAGAUUGCGACCUCGAUGUUGGAUUAAGGUGUCCUAAGGG